CGCGUAGGUGGCGUGAUAAGGGUGUGGUGAAAGCCCGGGGCUCAACCCCGGGUCUGCCAUGCCGACUGUCAGGCUCGAGUACUGUAGGGGCAGGCGGAAUUCCGGGUGUAGCGGUGGAAUGCGUAGAGAUCCGGAGGAAGACCGGUGGCGAAGGCGGCCUGCUGGGCAGUUACUGACACUGAUGCGCGACAGCGUGGGGAGCAAACA
This 207-nucleotide ribosomal RNA is filed under the name uncultured bacterium. RNAcentral's name for it is "partial 16S ribosomal RNA". It matches the Rfam family "Bacterial small subunit ribosomal RNA", at positions 568 to 774 of the family's 1533-position model. The record is from RNAcentral.